GCAGCGAAAGCUGUGCUAAUACCGCAUACGAUCUACGGAUGAAAGCGGGGGAUCGCAAGACCUCGCGCGAUUGGAGCGGCCGAUAUCAGAUUAGGUAGUUGGUGGGGUAAAGGCUCACCAAGCCAACGAUCUGUAGCUGGGUUUNAGAGGAUGAUCAGUCACACUGGAACUGAGACACGGUCCAGACUCCUACGGGAGGCAGCAUGGGGAAUAUUGGUCAAUGGGCGCAAGCCUGAACCAGCCAUGCCGCGUGCAGGAAGAAUGCCCUCUGGGUUGUAAACUGCUUUUGACAGGGAAGAAAUCACUUAUGCGUAAGUGUCUGACGGUACCUGUAGAAUAAGCACCGGCUAACUCCGUG
RNAcentral lists this ribosomal RNA (358 nucleotides) under uncultured bacterium. RNAcentral's name for it is "bacterial SSU rRNA". It matches the Rfam family "Bacterial small subunit ribosomal RNA", at positions 148 to 507 of the family's 1533-position model. The record is from RNAcentral.